AUAUAUAUAGUUCAUUAUAUACAUAUAUAUAUUUCAUUACUAAAGAAGUUUCUUUGACUGCAUAGAGCAUCUGAAACUACCAGGAUAAGCCAAAGCAUCCUCCCCUGAGUGGGAAGCCAGUUCUGGGUCUUGCUUUUCUAACUGUCUUUUACCACUGAGAAUCCUUCUCGUUCUAUGGAAAAGUGAGGAAAGGAUGCAUUCUGAGUGGU
Molecule: small nucleolar RNA, 209 nt
Organism: Sorex fumeus (smoky shrew)
Lineage: Eukaryota; Metazoa; Chordata; Mammalia; Eulipotyphla; Soricidae
Product: small nucleolar RNA U3
Exons: 1
Source: RefSeq, a predicted model, not a curated record